Molecule: ribosomal RNA, 555 nt
Filed under: Bacillus velezensis
Lineage: Bacteria; Bacillati; Bacillota; Bacilli; Caryophanales; Bacillaceae
Also listed under: 1 other name
Description: bacterial SSU rRNA
Rfam family: Bacterial small subunit ribosomal RNA
Source: RNAcentral
GCACCUUGACGGUACCUAACCAGAAAGCCACGGCUAACUACGUGCCAGCAGCCGCGGUAAUACGUAGGUGGCAAGCGUUGUCCGGAAUUAUUGGGCGUAAAGGGCUCGCAGGCGGUUUCUUAAGUCUGAUGUGAAAGCCCCCGGCUCAACCGGGGAGGGUCAUUGGAAACUGGGGAACUUGAGUGCAGAAGAGGAGAGUGGAAUUCCACGUGUAGCGGUGAAAUGCGUAGAGAUGUGGAGGAACACCAGUGGCGAAGGCGACUCUCUGGUCUGUAACUGACGCUGAGGAGCGAAAGCGUGGGGAGCGAACAGGAUUAGAUACCCUGGUAGUCCACGCCGUAAACGAUGAGUGCUAAGUGUUAGGGGGUUUCCGCCCCUUAGUGCUGCAGCUAACGCAUUAAGCACUCCGCCUGGGGAGUACGGUCGCAAGACUGAAACUCAAAGGAAUUGACGGGGGCCCGCACAAGCGGUGGAGCAUGUGGUUUAAUUCGAAGCAACGCGAAGAACCUUACCAGGUCUUGACAUCCUCUGACAAUCCUAGAGAUAGGACGUCCC